This 774-nucleotide long non-coding RNA is filed under the name Homo sapiens (human). Its description in RNAcentral is "non-protein coding lnc-DAW1-4:1". Lineage: Eukaryota; Metazoa; Chordata; Mammalia; Primates; Hominidae. The record is from RNAcentral.
UCUUAAGGUGCCCAGAUUUCAUAUUGUUCAAACACACAUGCUUUAUGAACAAUUUGUGCAGUUAAUGCAAUCAUCGCAGGGUCCUGAGGCGACAAACAUCCUCAGUUUACAAAGAUGAUGGGAUUAAGAGAUUAAAGUAAAGACAGGCAUAGGAAAUUAUAACAGUAUUGAUUGGGGAAGUGAUAAAUGUCCAUGAAAUCUUCACAAUUUAUGUUCUUCUGUCACGGCUUUAGCAGGUCCCUCCGUUCAGGGUCCCUGACUUCCUGCAACACCUUCCAUGACAUGGGUAUUUUUGCUUCAGUGUUACCUCGAGCACAAUGUUUGCCACACUAGUGCUAAACAAUUGUAUGUAACAAAAAUGAAUAAAUGUUUUCUUCUGAUGGUAGUUUGUAUUUCUGUGGGAUCGGUGGUGAUAUCCCCUUUAUCAUUUUUUAUUGUGUCUAUUUGAUUCUUCUCUCUUUUUUUCUUUAUUAUUUUAUUGGAGGGAUGAGAGCUAAAGAUUGAUUGGAGUGCAAUCAAGAGAAAAUGAAAAGAGACAUAUGGAGACAGAAGUUAUAAACAGAUAGCUAUAUUCAAAGAUUUGUUUUUUUAAGUAGAGACACAGAAAUGUGAUGGUAGAUAGAAAAGAAAUGUUGGAUCAAGGGAGGCUGCUGUGUGGUGUGUGUGUGUGUGUGUGUGUGUGUGGAUGUGUUCAAAGAGAAAAUUUUUACAGGAUGUUUUUGUGCAGUGGGGAAAGAAAUCUGCAAAUGAGGGAGAGAAAAGGACUAAUUGAGA